GAAUUCAGUCGAAUCGCUACUGUCCCACUAAUUCAAACAUUUUUCAAAACUGCAUGGUUCCACCAGCAAGCUGGACAGCAUUUACCGUACAAAAGAAGAAAUUGCAAAAUGGAAAAUUUGAAAACUGAUGGCUACCAUCGACAAGAGUGAUGCCAUCUCAACUUGGAGAGCUUGCAUUCUCAGAGCACUUUCUGUGUAUCUUAAUGAAGACUAUUAAAACCUCAUGAAGGAGUAUACAGAGACAGACUUUGAGAGAGACAUGGCCAAUACUGUCAUUAAAAUCUACACCGUUACGCCUGAAGUUGUAGAAGUCUGUGACCCACCAUCAGUUGCUGGACUGA
Non-coding RNA from Danio rerio (zebrafish), 341 nucleotides. Lineage: Eukaryota; Metazoa; Chordata; Actinopteri; Cypriniformes; Danionidae. The record is from Ensembl.